Long non-coding RNA from Daucus carota subsp. sativus, 1364 nucleotides. RefSeq lists it as uncharacterized. The record is from RefSeq and is a predicted model, not a curated record. NCBI's taxonomy places the organism in Eukaryota, Viridiplantae, Streptophyta, Magnoliopsida, Apiales, Apiaceae. The transcript has 4 exons.
CUUAUACGCUUUGUUGUAUUAUACAGUUUGUGUAUACGUAUUACACAAUUUUUGAAAACAAAACACAGGUCAAUCACCAGAAAAAGAAGAUGCUUGCCCCGAUGCUAUUCAAAUUUGAAUUUUGAAAUUCAAAAUUGCGAUGACGAUGGUGACACACACGAUGAUACACACAGUCACACAUAAUACAACUACGGUCUAUUUAGAUCUCUUCUCCUUUCAUUUUGUCUCUUUUACUAUUUUCUCGAUAUUUUCGGUAAACCUCAGGUUUUUGUUAUAUGUAACUGAAUACUGACUAUAAUUGUUUGGUUUUUAUGAUGAUGAUUAACGAUAUGCAAAUGUUUGGAUGUUGCUGGACAGCCACCGCCAUUGUUUUUGUGAAAUCUUGCAUUCUUCUGAAAGUCUACCACCUUCUUCUGCUUCUCGGUUUCUUGAUUCCUUAUGAAUUUCCAAGUCUUCGGCUUCUUUUCAAGGGCUGGAGAUGCAACUCAGGUUUCUACAGAUACCUUCAAGAAUAUAGAAGCAAAUGCUGUAGAUACUAUGCAGGCAACCACAUUAAGGAAUGAAACUGUUGGUAUAAAAGCGCUAGCUAAGGUGAUUUGCAUCUUCCCAAAAUUGUUCCAAAUGAUGAAUCAACGAUUGUCUAUAAAUCCUUCUGAGUUCAUUGCUAAUUGGUUAUAGCUUUUUUAGAAAGAAAAAAAAAAAGUGGUUUGUGUUUGCGAUUGUACUCUGUUCAUGGUAAUGUCAAUUGUUCAUUAUGUAUCAUUGCUGCUUGGGUCCAUUUAUGCUGCCGGAAAUACAGUACCCAUUCCUUUUUUAAAGGCAACCGAUAUAUCACCUAUUGCAUUGUUGUCGAACAACGUGCUUGGAUGCCGUGAUAGUGGGGAAAUAUUGCUGUGGAAACAAUGCAGGAGCUCUUUGCAGGUGAUGGCAAUCUAAAAAGGGAAAGAGUAGGCAAAAUGAGGUCUCUUUCGGUUUCUCUGAUUAUAUCUCUAUGCAUGCCUCACAGAUAAUCAGUUUUAUGUAUAUAGUUUUAUCCAAUUUCUCCAAAGACGAAGGUGAUGAUCCUGCAGGAUUUUGCCAACCUCAUGCCUCCAGAAGCUCAAAAUUGAGUCUUAUGAUGAAUUAAGUGCAGAAUUAUGUGAGCUUGCAGUAGAUGAUCCCUUUUAUUGUGAGCUUAUAUGUGUGAUAUUUGGUGGUAUAUUGUGUUUUCAAAACAGAUUUAUUGAUACAGUGGUGGACCAUUUUGAUGCCAGUAUGAGAGUGUAGGCCAUGGCCAGUAUAUUAAGUUUUGGAUGCGAAACUAAUGAUGUUAAGAUGCAGAAGGUUUUUGUUCAAAAAUUUUGAAUUUGGAUUGUGCUUUUGUA